Molecule: unclassified non-coding RNA, 228 nt
Filed under: Hevea brasiliensis (rubber tree)
Lineage: Eukaryota; Viridiplantae; Streptophyta; Magnoliopsida; Malpighiales; Euphorbiaceae
Source: RNAcentral
UGCACGGUCUAUUAGCUUCAUCAUCUUCAAUCUCUUCAUUUCCACCUUCUAUUCUACCUUCACUAAUCUCUAGAGCAGCAAUAUUUUCUUCAAAAUUAGAUUCUAGUGCCUCAGUAUUAAAAUCCAGCUUUCUCUUUGCAGAAUUAUCUCCAUGAAAUUCCCUAUCACCACCUUCGAAUUCUUCAAUUUGAUGAUUUCGCAGUGACUUUAGGCACUUGCUUGGACUAA